AGUGAACGCUGGCGGUAGGCCUAACACAUGCAAGUCGAACGGCAGCACAGUAAGAGCUUGCUCUUACGGGUGGCGAGUGGCGGACGGGUGAGGAAUACAUCGGAAUCUACUUUUUCGUGGGGGAUAACGUAGGGAAACUUACGCUAAUACCGCAUACGACCUACGGGUGAAAGCAGGGGAUCUUCGGACCUUGCGCGAUUGAAUGAGCCGAUGUCGGAUUAGCUAGUUGGCGGGGUAAAGGCCCACCAAGGCGACGAUCCGUAGCUGGUCUGAGAGGAUGAUCAGCCACACUGGAACUGAGAUACGGUCCAGACUCCUACGGGAGGCAGCAGUGGGGAAUAUUGGACAAUGGGCGCAAGCCUGAUCCAGCCAUACCGCGUGAGUGAAGAAGGCCUUCGGGUUGUAAAGCCCUUUUGUUGGGAAAGAAAAGCAGCAGGUUAAUACCCCGCUGUUCUGACGGUACCCAAAGAAUAAGCACCGGCUAACUUCGUG
Molecule: ribosomal RNA, 492 nt
Filed under: uncultured bacterium
Lineage: Bacteria
Description: partial 16S ribosomal RNA
Rfam family: Bacterial small subunit ribosomal RNA
Source: RNAcentral